This 434-nucleotide ribosomal RNA is filed under the name uncultured bacterium. RNAcentral describes it as "bacterial SSU rRNA". It matches the Rfam family "Bacterial small subunit ribosomal RNA", at positions 323 to 772 of the family's 1533-position model. The record is from RNAcentral.
GACACGGCCCAAACUCCUACGGGAGGCAGCAGUGGGGAAUAUUGCACAAUGGGGGAAACCCUGAUGCAGCGACGCCGCGUGAGCGAAGAAGUAUUUCGGUAUGUAAAGCUCUAUCAGCAGGGAAGAAGAAAUGACGGUACCUGACUAAGAAGCACCGGCUAAAUACGUGCCAGCAGCCGCGGUAAUACGUAUGGUGCAAGCGUUAUCCGGAUUUACUGGGUGUAAAGGGAGCGCAGGCGGUACGGCAAGUCUGAUGUGAAAGCCCGGGGCUCAACCCCGGUACUGCAUUGGAAACUGUCGGACUAGAGUGUCGGAGGGGUAAGUGGAAUUCCUAGUGUAGCGGUGAAAUGCGUAGAUAUUAGGAGGAACACCAGUGGCGAAGGCGGCUUACUGGACGAUUACUGACGCUGAGGCUCGAAAGCGUGGGGAGCAAA